Syngnathus typhle (broad-nosed pipefish) is the source of this 110-nucleotide small nucleolar RNA. RefSeq annotates it as small nucleolar RNA SNORA17. The record is from RefSeq and is a predicted model, not a curated record. The transcript has a single exon. NCBI's taxonomy places the organism in Eukaryota, Metazoa, Chordata, Actinopteri, Syngnathiformes, Syngnathidae.
UUUGCCCCUUGAGGCAGUGCAGCUCAGCUGUCGGUGUUACAGCUGCGUCAAAAAGUGACAGAGUGAAGGCCGAGUCAACGCAACUAAACAUUGAUGAUUCGUCUUUCAAA